Long non-coding RNA from Coturnix japonica (Japanese quail), 738 nucleotides. Ensembl lists it as uncharacterized. Lineage: Eukaryota; Metazoa; Chordata; Aves; Galliformes; Phasianidae. The record is from Ensembl.
AUGGGGCAACUACGGGAGACAACUGCUCCCAGAUGUUGCUUUUUGCUCUUACUUCUCCUCUUUCUUGUGACGCCAUGUCAUGGGCAACCCCAGAAUGUCGCGUGGGAAGCACUGAGUCCAGAUGAUCGUGUUGACGACAUACAAGAAUCAUAUCCCAUUGAAGGUGAUCAAGAACGUCUCCAGGAUUCCAGGGAUCUGCCUGCACACCAUAUAUCUGGGAUGUACCGUUUCCAUCAGCCUCAAGGCUACCCCAGGGCUGUUGCACCUCAGAUUCCUAAUCCACGUUCUCAGAUGGUUCUUGGUUUUGGGCCUGAAGAGUAUUCCAGAGUUGCCGGUGGUGUGAGAACUACGAUGCGUGUGGAACAGAAACGGGGGGAAUAUAACUCUGCGUUUGCAGUGCUUGCCAUCCUGUUCUGUCUGGUCAUUCUGGCUGCUUUGGCUUUCCUGGCAAAACGUCUGCUGAUGAAGAGACAAGAAGAUGCAAUGCCAUUUGAAGCUGUCAGGAAAAAUGAAGACCCAGAUCCAGCAAAUGAAGGGCAAACCAUCGUGAGAUUUAUGAUAGAAAUUGAAGAUCUUUCUGGGGAUUCAAUGUCAAAUCUGAAGGGUCUCCACUCUGCUAUCUCACAAAUCAAUGACAUAUUCAGUCAGUCCCCACAGCGAUCCGCAAAGCAGUCAGGAAUCGCUGAAAGAAGCAAAAAGGCACAAAAGUCACGAAAAGAGGAGAAAAAUACAUCCUGA